This 272-nucleotide long non-coding RNA is filed under the name Lathyrus oleraceus (garden pea). RNAcentral's name for it is "Pisum sativum (pea) long non-coding RNA (PSAT_LNC000029)". The record is from RNAcentral. Lineage: Eukaryota; Viridiplantae; Streptophyta; Magnoliopsida; Fabales; Fabaceae.
GAGGUUGAGGGACGGAUAGAGAAGUGAGAUUCAGAGUGGUGAGCGAAGAUGAUGAGUUUGAGGGAGCGUGAACAAGUGAACGCUUCGUUACUGUUCCUCCCACUUUUCCUUCAUUUAUUUUAUUUUUACAAAACCAUCAUUUAAAACCAUUAAAAAGAUUUGUUUACUUUUAGUCUUCUAUUUUUUUUUAUUAAAUGGUAUAUAUUGGUAUAUUUGUUUUCCCAAUUCAUAAUCCAUUGGAAAACCCAAUAGCCAAGCGGCUGGGUUUAAUU